AUGUGCCAACCGUUUUCCGGAAAAGCGUCUGGAGCAGGGAGACAGAAGGAGCACUGUGGGCACUUUGAAACAGACCCUCCUUCCGCUUACCAUCCAAGGCAAGACCCUUGCAAUCCAACCAGACCCCACUUACCCAGGCUUUACGGACUCCCCAAAAUCCACAAGGACUCCAUCCCACUCAGACCCAUUGUAAGUGCCAUUGGAUCGCUGACUUACAACCUGGCAAAAUUUCUGGCUACACAGCUACAAACCCACAUUGGGCUCACUGCACACUAUAUCAAGGACUCAACACACUUUAUUAAAAAGAUCAGCAACCUCAAUCUAAGCACCAAUGACAUCCUGAUCAGCUUUGAUGUGGUGUCCCUUUUUACCAAAGUCCCAGUAGCUGACACCCUCACACUAAUCAAACAAAACUUCCCAGAAGACAUCACAGCCCUGUUUCACCAUUGCCUCACCACUAGCUACUUUCAGUGGGACACUGGAUUCUAUGAACAGAAGGAUGGAGUGGCCAUGGGGAGCCCUCUCAGCCCAGUAGUAGCAAAUUUCUAUAUGGAAUACUUUGAAAAACAGGCCCUAGAAACAGCACCAAAAAAGCCAACUGUUUGGUUCAGAUACGUAGAUGACACCUUUACCAUUUGGAGCCAUGAAAAGGAAGAACUCAGCAAGUUCCUGGACCAUCUUAACAGCAUCCACCCAAACAUCCAAUUCACCAUGGAAAAAGAAAAGGAAGGAAAACUGCCAUUUCUAGAUGUUCUGGUCAUCCGUAAACCCAAUCAACAAUUGGGCCACACAGUUUACAGAAAACCUACACACACAGAUAGAUACCUUCAUAAAAACUCCAACCAUCACCCAAAUCAAAAAAGGAGCACAAUCAAAGCCCUGACAGACCGUGCUCAAAGAAUCUGCGAACCUCACCUCCUCCAAGGUGAACUCAACCACCUAAACUGGGCUCUACAGGCCAAUGGAUACUCCACCACAGACAUCAGAAGAGCUGCAAGGCCAAGAACAAGCCAUGAGAGUCAAGACAAAGAUCCACCCAGAGGAAAGGUGUUCUUACCAUACAUCAAGGGAACCACUGACCGCAUAGGGAAGCUGAUGAAGAAGCACAACCUACAAACUAUCUACAGACCCACAAAGAAAAUCCAACAAAUGCUACGGUCAGCGAAGGACAAGAGGGAUCCUCUCUCCUCUGCAGGAGUCUACCGGAUACCAUGCAGCUGUGGACAAGUAUACAUAGGGACCACCAAACGCAGCGCCCAAACAAGAGUCAAAGAACAUAUAAAAGGCACUGCAGACUAA
This 1299-nucleotide long non-coding RNA is filed under the name Anolis carolinensis (green anole). RNAcentral describes it as "lncRNA (ENSACAG00000038757.1)". Lineage: Eukaryota; Metazoa; Chordata; Lepidosauria; Squamata; Anolidae. The record is from RNAcentral.